GAAGUUCUUUAUAUUGAUUUGCUAGAAGGGGAUACAGAAUGCCAUGCUAGAUUUAAAACUCCUGAGGAUGCUCAAGCAGUAAUAAAUGCAUAUACAGAAAUUAAUAAGAAACACUGCUGGAAACUCGAGAUCCUUUCUGGUGAUCACGAACAAAGGUAUUGGCAGAAGAUUUUGGUUGAUAGACAGGCAAAACUUAAUCAGCCUCGGGAAAAGAAAAGAGGCACUGAAAAGGUAAUUGAUUCAUUUUUGUUUUUUUAGACUAAACUUUCCCUGAACGUUUAAUGCCAAAGUCAGUACUAGGUAGUCAUAAAAUGAUCGUAGUUUUGCUAUUACCUAACAAAGAUUUACUGAGUAUAUACUGUUUUAGGUUGGGAGGGAAAAGUCAUUUCUCUAGAUUUCAAAAUGUGUGAAAUUGAAUUAUUUUUCUCACAAGGAUACAUAAUUUUAAUUUAGAUUUUUUCUUUUUAACAGUGAUAUACUUGAACAGUCUCGAUUUCUGGCUGCUCUGUCUUGUAGUUUGGUGAUAAAUGAUUAUAGAAAGAUUAUCUUCAUUGUAAAAACACAAUGUAUUCAGAAUGUAGUUUAUAAAGAUAGGAGCCUCCAUAGAUAAGAUGGAGAGACUUUAUGCAUAGUGUUUCCUAUAGCAACAAUAAGCUUUAUUCCUCUUUCUCUAAGAUAGUCUGUAGGUAAUACAAACAAGCUUAAAUAAUUUAAAGCAAGCCCCUCUUUCAGUAAUUUUAUUUUUCUGUCACUUAAAAUGAUACUGGUCUGAUCAGUAGUGGAAUCACACCUGGGAAUAGCCACUGCUUUCCAGCUUAGGCAACGUAGCAAGACC
This 835-nucleotide small RNA is filed under the name Pongo abelii (Sumatran orangutan). Its description in RNAcentral is "retained intron". Lineage: Eukaryota; Metazoa; Chordata; Mammalia; Primates; Hominidae. The record is from RNAcentral.